This 452-nucleotide long non-coding RNA is filed under the name Cricetulus griseus (Chinese hamster). RNAcentral's name for it is "lncRNA (ENSCGRG00015029582.1)". Lineage: Eukaryota; Metazoa; Chordata; Mammalia; Rodentia; Cricetidae. The record is from RNAcentral.
CAACAAGAAGAUAGGCAAAUCAUACUAACACAAGGAAUUCUGCAAUAUGGUGACAUCUGGUACAGGAGCAAAGAGCUCCAUUGGUACCAUGCAAAUGAGAGUGCCAUCCUGUGUUCAUCAAGAUGAUUCUGGGCCACAGAGAGAACUGUAGGGCACACGAGCCAGUCAAAGAUGGCACUGAGGAGAAGUCAGAUGGGGAAUGGGUUGGAGAGAUGAUGGCUCAGCGGUUAAGAGCACCGACUGUUCUUCCAGAGGUCCUGAGUUCAAUUCCCAGCAACCACAUGGUGGCUCAUAACCAUCUGUCACGAGGUCCGGUGCCCUCUUCUGGUGGAAGAAUGGAAGCAGAAUGUUGUAUACAUAAUAAAUAAAUAAAGUCUUUUAAAAAAAUGUCCAGGGAACAGGGACUUUGUCUUAUUUCUUUUACAUCUUUGCAUCUGACAGUUUCAAAUGAA